AAAUAAGCAGAAAUACAUAUACAAGGUGUAUUGGAUAGGUGAGCCCAGAUUCAAGGGGCAGGGAAAUACAGGGAAGGGUAAAGCAAUGGCACCAGUGAUGCAAUCAACUACUGAGUCCAAGAAGGAGAGAUGGAAAAGGUAAAUCAGGUGAGGAUGGCCUCAGCAAGGGAAGAGAGUUUCAAGAAUUGGGGAUGGUAAGCACUGUUAAAUGUAGCCUGAAAAUCCAGCAAGAUGAAGACCGGGGCACAUGGCAACUCAAGAGUCACCAGGGACCUUGGGGAAACAGCUUUAGAGGAGGGGUGUUUGGUAAGGAUACCACCAGAUCGUGGAGGGCUAAGAAAUGAAUGGGAGUGGAGAAGGUAGAAGGAAUGUACAUCCAUUCAUCCGACAGAUGAAUCCAGCUGAGGACCCACUAAGUGUCAGUCACUGUUCUAGGUGCUGGGGAGAGAGCCACGAACAAAGGAAGGGUCUUCUCUCACGGAGCUCACAUUCUAGUGGGAAGAGAGAUAGUAGACAAAGCAACCAAUAAAUAAGUAAGAAGAAUUGAAGUGGUGCAAUGGGCUACAAGGAAAUGAGAAUGGGCUCAGGUGAUGGAGAGGGAUGGGGAUUUGGAGAGGGGGAGUGCAGUGGAUGUGAAGAAGAUGGACAGAGAAAGCCUCUCUGAGGAGGUGAUGGUUGACCUGAGACUUAAAUGAUGAAAAGAAGCUGAUCUUGUCUUGGGAAAAGGAAGGGUAAGUGCAAAAAUCCUGGGUCAGGGAGGAUCUUCGCAGCUGGUUCAGGGAACGGAAAGAAGGUUGUGUGGCUGGAGUUCAUGGGCAAAUGGAAGGGAGAGAAAGGAAGGGGGUCUGCAGGCAGGAAGGUCCCAGACCACGGAGGCCUGAGGAUACCAUGGGAAGCUGAGGUUGGGUGGGAGAUUUAAGCAGAAGAAUGAUGCAAUCUGAUGUGCAUUUUCAAAGAUCACUUUAGCAGCAAUGUGCAGGAUAGAUUGUCUCUACUAAAAAUAA
RNAcentral lists this long non-coding RNA (1004 nucleotides) under Pan troglodytes (chimpanzee). RNAcentral's name for it is "long non-coding RNA NONPTRT008868". Lineage: Eukaryota; Metazoa; Chordata; Mammalia; Primates; Hominidae. The record is from RNAcentral.